GACGAACGCUGACGGCGUGCUUAACACAUGCAAGUCGAACGGUGAAGCGCCUUCCUUUUUGGUGGGUGUGGAUGAGUGGCGAACGGGUGAGUAACACGUGAGUAGCCUGCCCCCUUCUUCUGGAUAACCGCAUGAAAGUGUGGCUAAUACGGGAUAUUCUGGGUCUGUCGCAUGAUGGGUCUGGGAAAGAUAUUGUUUCGGUGGGGGAUGGGCUCGCGGCCUAUCAGCUUGUUGGUGGGGUGAUGGCCUACCAAGGCGGUGACGGGUAGCCGGCCUGAGAGGGUGGACGGUCACACUGGGACUGAGACACGGCCCAGACUCCUACGGGAGGCAGCAGUGGGGAAUAUUGCACAAUGGGCGCAAGCCUGAUGCAGCGACGCCGCGUGAGGGAUGGAGGCCUUCGGGUUGUGAACCUCUUUCGCCAGUGAAGCAGGCCUGCCUCGUUUGUGGGUGGGUUGACGGUAGCUGGAUAAGAAGCGCCGGCUAACUACGUG
RNAcentral lists this ribosomal RNA (494 nucleotides) under uncultured bacterium. Its description in RNAcentral is "partial 16S ribosomal RNA". It matches the Rfam family "Bacterial small subunit ribosomal RNA", at positions 28 to 507 of the family's 1533-position model. The record is from RNAcentral.